GACAGAGGGUGCAAACGUUGUUCGGAAUUACUGGGCGUAAAGCGAGUGUAGGCGGUCUGUAAAGUCGGGUGUGAAAGCCCCGGGCUCAACCCGGGAAGUGCACUCGAAACUCACAGGCUAGAGUAUCGGAGAGGUUGGUGGAAUUCUCGGUGUAGAGGUGAAAUUCGUAGAUAUCGAAAGGAACACCGGUGGCGAAGGCGGCCAACUGGACGAAUACUGACGCUGAGACUCGAAAGCGUGGGGAGCAAACAGG
RNAcentral lists this ribosomal RNA (253 nucleotides) under uncultured bacterium. Its description in RNAcentral is "partial 16S ribosomal RNA". It matches the Rfam family "Bacterial small subunit ribosomal RNA", at positions 524 to 776 of the family's 1533-position model. The record is from RNAcentral.